GUAGAGUCCCGGAUUGUGAUUCCGGUUGUCGUGGGUUCGAGUCCCAUUAUCCACC
Molecule: non-coding RNA, 55 nt
Organism: Chromobacterium aquaticum
Lineage: Bacteria; Pseudomonadati; Pseudomonadota; Betaproteobacteria; Neisseriales; Chromobacteriaceae
Source: Rfam